Myriangium duriaei CBS 260.36 is the source of this 96-nucleotide non-coding RNA. The record is from the annotation of a GenBank genome assembly. NCBI's taxonomy places the organism in Eukaryota, Fungi, Ascomycota, Dothideomycetes, Myriangiales, Myriangiaceae.
UCCGAUGUGGUGUAGUGGCUAGCAUUUAUCGCUCUCAUAGAGCUUCAAAAGUUCUUAGGGUCCGAUAAGACCGGGGUUCAAUUCCCCGCAUCGGAA